GGCUCAGGAUGAACGCUAGCUACAGGCUUAACGACAUGGCGAAGUCGGGGGGCAGCACGGAAGCAGCAAUGCUUUUGGGUGGCGACCGGCGAAUGGGUGAGUAACGAGUACUCCAACCUGCCCCGUGCUCCGGGACAGCCCCGCGAAAGCGGGAUUAAUACCGGAUGGUGCGUAUGUCCCGCAUGGGAUAUACGUCAAAGAUUCAUCGGGCACGGGAUGGGGAUGCGUCCGAUUAGCUGGUUGGCGGGGUAACGGCCCACCAAGGCGAUGAUCGGUAGGGGUUCUGAGAGGAAGGUCCCCCACAUUGGAACUGAGACACGGUCCAAACUCCUACGGGAGGCAGCAGUGAGGAAUAUUGGUCAAUGGCCGCAAGGCUGAACCAGCCAAGUAGCGUGAGGGAUGACCGCCCUAUGGGUCGUAAACCUCUUUGCACGGGAAUAACCGCACCCACGCGCUGGGUGCCUGCAUGUACCGUGCGAAUAAGCAUCGGCUAACUCCGUGCC
RNAcentral lists this ribosomal RNA (503 nucleotides) under uncultured bacterium. RNAcentral's name for it is "bacterial SSU rRNA". It matches the Rfam family "Bacterial small subunit ribosomal RNA", at positions 21 to 509 of the family's 1533-position model. The record is from RNAcentral.